CAGGAACUUACUACGAGUCACAUAACAAAUGAGAACUUGUCCUUCCCUCUGUGGAACCUGCUCUUGAUGAGAAUUCUACCCAUAACCUCAGCAGGCAGAUAUUUCAUGCAGUAGAUGAAUAUUGCCUGCUCCCCUUCUCAAAUCAAAGUCCAUCAAGGUUGCAUGAAAUGGUUAAGUCUUGGCAUUAACACAACAAAAGUAACAACGGAGAGAGCUUGAGGCAUUAACACAACAAAAGUAACAACAGAGAGAGCUUGAGGCUCAGCAUGGUUUGUAUUUCAAGUUAAAGGGGAGAUCUCUCACACUGUAGCAAGAGGAUUCCAGGAGUUGAAAAACUCUGGGAUGAGGUAAAAUGUAAUUGUUCGGUUUUCAGAAGAUGCAAGAAUCUUUACAUAAACAAAUAAUCUUGACAUGAUGGAGAUAUCAGAAUGCUUUCUAACUGUGACAUUCUUCAAGAAACUCCUCAGUUAUCCAGCUAUGCUUAAGAGUAGAUUUCUAUUACCUGGAUAAAUGCACAACCUUGUCCUUCCACAUCUACUGUGUAUUGUCCACGUGCUUUUGUUAGUUCGGACCGCUGGACCAGUAAGCGAUU
Long non-coding RNA from Zalophus californianus (California sea lion), 592 nucleotides. RefSeq lists it as uncharacterized. NCBI's taxonomy places the organism in Eukaryota, Metazoa, Chordata, Mammalia, Carnivora, Otariidae. The transcript has 4 exons. The record is from RefSeq and is a predicted model, not a curated record.